CAGUAGCCGCGGUAAUACGGAGGGUGCAAGCGUUAAUCGGAAUUACUGGGCGUAAAGGGUGCGUAGGUGGUUAGAUAAGUUAUCUGUGAAAGCCCUGGGCUCAACCUGGGAAGGCCAGAUAAGACUGUUUGACUAGAGUACGGGAGAGGGUAGUGGAAUUUCCGGUGUAGCGGUGAAAUGCGUAGAGAUCGGAAGGAACACCAGUGGCGAAGGCGGCCACCUGGCCUAUUACUGACACUGAAGCACGAAAGCGCGGGGAGCAGAUGGGAUUAGAUACCCGCGUAGUCCCUGUCUCUUAUAC
Molecule: ribosomal RNA, 301 nt
Filed under: uncultured bacterium
Lineage: Bacteria
Description: partial 16S ribosomal RNA
Rfam family: Bacterial small subunit ribosomal RNA
Source: RNAcentral